RNAcentral lists this ribosomal RNA (113 nucleotides) under Resinicium mutabile. RNAcentral's name for it is "5.8S ribosomal RNA". The stretch from base 13 to 113 matches the Rfam family "5.8S ribosomal RNA", at positions 1 to 101 of the family's 154-position model. From Rfam's summary of the family: 5.8S ribosomal RNA (5.8S rRNA) is a component of the large subunit of the eukaryotic ribosome. It is transcribed by RNA polymerase I as part of the 45S precursor that also contains 18S and 28S rRNA. The record is from RNAcentral. Lineage: Eukaryota; Fungi; Basidiomycota; Agaricomycetes; Hymenochaetales.
UUAUUAUAAUACAACUUUCAACAACGGAUCUCUUGGCUCUCGCAUCGAUGAAGAACGCAGCGAAAUGCGAUAAGUAAUGUGAAUUGCAGAAUUCAGUGAAUCAUCGAAUCUUU